Oppia nitens is the source of this 287-nucleotide long non-coding RNA. RefSeq lists it as uncharacterized. NCBI's taxonomy places the organism in Eukaryota, Metazoa, Arthropoda, Arachnida, Sarcoptiformes, Oppiidae. The record is from RefSeq and is a predicted model, not a curated record. The transcript is spliced from 3 exons.
AAACUGUCACAUAUGUGUACAAGAGAUGCAAUAAUAAUAGAAUUGUUAUCAGCGAUUGCAUUGUUUAACCCAAUUAGACCUCAACUGCUACACACAAAUGUUGUAAAACUUGAACAACAAAUGUACAUUUAUUUGUUACAAAGAUAUCUAUCAAUGAAAUAUUGUAAAACCAAUGAAUCGCAAAAAGUAAUUUCAAAUAUAAUGCAAUCAAUGUCUGAAUUAUGCAAACUCUGUGAUUGUUAUCGAAAUAGUGACCAAAACUGCAAUGUUUACAACAAUAGAUAUUA